RNAcentral lists this ribosomal RNA (213 nucleotides) under uncultured bacterium. RNAcentral describes it as "partial 16S ribosomal RNA". It matches the Rfam family "Bacterial small subunit ribosomal RNA", at positions 524 to 732 of the family's 1533-position model. The record is from RNAcentral.
UACGAAGGGGGCUAGCGUUGUUCGGAUUUACUGGGCGUAAAGCGCACGUAGGCGGAUCGUUAAGUCGGGGGUGAAAUCCUGGAGCUCAACUCCAGAACUGGCCUUCGAUACUGGCGAUCUUGAGUCCGGAAGAGGUGAGUGGAACUCCGUAGUGUAGAGGUGGAAUUCGUAGAUAUUAGGAAGAACACCAGGUGGCGAAGGGCGGCUCACUGG